This 2949-nucleotide long non-coding RNA is filed under the name Zea mays. RNAcentral's name for it is "long non-coding RNA (ZMAY_LNC003688)". Lineage: Eukaryota; Viridiplantae; Streptophyta; Magnoliopsida; Poales; Poaceae. The record is from RNAcentral.
AUGCGCCAAAGAAGACAAUAUAUAUAAUAACAGAGUGUAUAGAGAUAAAUGUCACAAUAACAUCAGAGUACUUAUUACAUAGCAGAAUUCUUACAAAAUAAAAGAUAAAUAUAGAUCGAACUAAAGUCCAUCCUUGGCGCCAUAAAGUCAACUGGGAGACGCCACCUAGAUCGAAUUGAACUCCUCGUUGUGUGGCUCCUCUUGAACCACAUGUUCUUCUCCUGUGGGGGGGUGUGAGACAGCAAGGGUGAGCUCACAUAUGUUCAUCGCUCAACAAGUUGUGGGGAAUAAUGUGGCAUGAACUCACCAAAGGUGGGAGUUCAUGUGACGUGUAAGGCUGAUCAACAAUAGGGGUUAAAGCUCUUAAUAAGUUGGUCAAAAUUUUAUUAGCAGUUACUAAAUAUAAGUGAAUACCAAAACAUAAUAAGAAUAAUAGAACAAAAUUAAUAAAUAAUCCCAUGCAAUGCAAAUGAUAAAUUGAAUUUAAGUUCCAUAAAUUAAUCAUGCGAGAGUCCUGAGCUGCUCAUGACCGUGAGCUCGACUAGUAUACCAGUUUUACACUCUGCAGAGGUUGUACCAUGUACCCACAAGUCGUGUAUCCCAUGUCGUCAGGGUUAGCUAGACCCUUAGACACUACCGAGGUGAAUGACUAGGGAUCCACUACAAGGCCUUUACAAAGUUCCACUAGUUUUCGAAAACCUGCUACAGUUUAUGGGAAGAGCACUUGCAAGAAUCACUCGUCUGACCGCCAUCGCAGCAAAAUCGACCCGAGAACCUCCCUGCAUGCAACUCCCCUACUGCCCUUGCCCCUUUCGGGUAAGGUAGUCUUCCACUAACUUUCCUAAUUAGUCAGCCAACGGUGUCCCAUUCCACCCUUGUGGUGGCACGUGUUUCUCAAGUUAAGCUCCAUGUUCCAAUUAACAUUAAUGAUCUUGACAUGAACAUAAAUAAAAUAGAAACAUAAUUGGAACAUGGAUAUAAUGAAAUAUUAACCCAAGACCAUAUAGAGCAAUAGCAAAACUAACCAAAUGAUUCAGGGGUGAACAAGGUAAAAAGAUAAUCAGUCUAGGGUGACCUAUUGGGUCCCAUCAAAAUUAAGUUGAUGCAUGAAUAAGUGAUAAUAAAGAACAUUAUUGGGUAAAUGAAAGUGAUCAAGGGCACAACUUGCCUGGCACUUUAGAUUCUAGGUACCAGGAUGAUUCUUCAAAUCCUCGUGACCUCACUGCUAGUCGUAGCAAUACAAACAAACAUGAUAUAGAUAAAAUUAACAUCACACCAAACAUAAGAACAAACUAAAUAAUAAUGAUCUACACGAAGCUAUGAGAUCGUGGGUUCGAGAAUUACUAAGAUCGAAGUUACGAUUAAGGAGUUAUGAUUUUAUAGAAGAUCUAUGUGAUUAAAAUAUUAAACUAUAUUAUAAAUUGGUUAGUAUAAAUCAUAUGAGAGAAUAUCUUAUAAAUAAUUAACUCACUUUGAUCUAUGUUAUAAAUUGACCAUAGAUCAUAUUUUAGUAAAUUAUAAUGAUAAGCAGAUUAACAAGACUAACCAACAUAAGUUAAAUAAAGAUCUAAUUAUAAAAGAAUGAGCCAUGGUAUAAUAAAUGUUGUUAAUGCGCAGUAAAUAUUUAUACGAGACUAACGCAACUCGAACGGUUCAAUUCAGAGUUAAAAUGGGGAAGUUAUGAAUUUCCUAAGGUUUUAUGUAUCUGAUAUAAGAUUAAUUAGGAAAUAAAUUUAAACAAUAAUAUUAUAAAAUUAUAGGAACGGGAAUGACUCAAUCUGGAAUUAGUAUGAAUUUUCUAUGGAUUAAACAAAUUCUAGCCAUUAUUUUUAUAUUAAAAAUAGAUUUCUAUUCUCUUUUCGUGGAUUUUUCUAUUUACUGGACUGGGCGCACGAUAUCUAGACAACCCAGGGGAUAACCCGCAAAAGUCUCAAGACAAAGUGCAUAGUAGCACGGGACUGUGGGUUUAAUCUCAAUAAAUCCAGGGCCUCUUUUAAAAGACUGCCAGGGCCGAAGGGGUAUCGGCAACUGUGGGCUGUCUGAUCCAACGCGAACUACACAAAUUAGACUUAACAUAAAAUGAACCGGUACGCGAUCUGGGCUGCUGGAUCAAUGAUCCACGAUUCACAUUCACCGCGCCCACGACCUAAUCACUACCAUUGGAUCCAACGCCAACGGCCUGGAUCACACCGAACGAAGGGACAUCCUAUCAUCUGAUCUAAGCCGUCCAAAGAAAAUCACACGGCAGCCAGGCGAUCACGCACUGACCGGACUAGAACCGCACAUCACCGAAUCAACGUCUCUGAUCAAUUCACGUGAAGGGGUAUCUUCCGUUUCUAAUCAGAGCCGUAAACCGCACAACCGACGGACACGAUCUGCCUAACCCUAUCCUCAUCGCGACCCGGCGGCGCUGUUCACCGAACACGGCGGCCCCUCGCCGGCGUAAGGUGUCCUUCCACCAUACUGUGGUAAACUCAUCGAGGAGCGGUGCUAAACACAGGUGGGGGAAAUGCGAACUUCAUGAAGAACAUCUCACCAAUGAUAAUGGCGUAGAGAACCCCGACGACGUGAUGCGUGGCUCCACGGCAGGGAUGACUCGGCGGCGAGCAAUCCCCCCCACAACGUGGCUCCCCGCGUCCGAUUCUCCCCCGGGACACGAUCCACACCACCGUCGAGGUGUCCGGGAGCGCACCACGAGUGCUAAGCGGGGACGGCGGCGGCAGACGGCUAUGGUGGCGCUCCCAUAUCUAAAGGCAUGCUCACGAGGCGUGUAUUCUAGGGCGAGGACGAAGCGGACGGGACUGAGGAUCGAUGCGGGUUAAUAUGAUGGCUGAGCGCGGACUCAAGGGGUUGAGGUUGGGAACGGAUUCCCGACGCAUGCGAGGAGGCCGAUUUGGCGGCGUGGAUUCGACCUUUGCGGAGGUGGAAGACGACCCGUGGGUCCCGCAU